GAAAUGCGAUAAUUAAUGUGAAUUGCAGAAUUCAGUGAAUCAUCGAGUCUUUGAACGCACAUUGCGCCCCCUGGUAUUCCGGGGGGCAUGCCUGUCCGAGCGUCAUUGCUGCCCUCAAGCACGGCUUGUGUGUUGGGCUUCCGUCCCUGGCAACGGGGACGGGCCCAAAAGGCAGUGGCGGCACCAUGUCUGGUCCUCGAGCGUAUGGGGCUUUGUCACCCGCUCCCGUAGGUCCAGCUGGCAGCUAGCCUCGCAACCAAUCUUUUUAACCAGGUUGACCUCAGAUCAGGUAGGGAUACCCGCUGAACUUAAGC
Molecule: unclassified non-coding RNA, 314 nt
Filed under: plant metagenome
Description: partial contains 5.8S ribosomal RNA, internal transcribed spacer 2, and large subunit ribosomal RNA
Rfam family: 5.8S ribosomal RNA (bases 1-105)
Source: RNAcentral